Molecule: long non-coding RNA, 5623 nt
Filed under: Homo sapiens (human)
Lineage: Eukaryota; Metazoa; Chordata; Mammalia; Primates; Hominidae
Description: non-protein coding lnc-KLF16-2:1
Source: RNAcentral
GUCGUGAAAGAUUGUUUGGCUGCUGGGGGAGAAUGUCCUGGAGCAGGUGAUCAGCAAGGAGGGAGGCUGUUGCUGUGGCUCUGGUGAAAGGUGAUGGAGGCAGGGACCGGGCGGUGGCUGAUGGGAGACAGGCAGAGCCACCGGGCUGGUGAUGGACCGGCUCAGAUCCAGUGGGUGGAAGGAGGUGUCAAGGAUAACAUCUUUGUUUCUGGCCUGGAUAGUGGGGCCCUGGCCACCUCGGUGUGCCCCUUCGUCUCCGGGGUCUCCAGGGGCCUGCUGCUGUCCACUGGGCUCUCAGGACCCAGCUGCAUGAUGCCACCUAAACUGCAGGGCCCUCCAAGUCCCCAGCACCAGCGGGGCAGCACCGGUAGGGCCUGGACCUCUUUGAGAAUAUGUUGAAAAGCUGACAUCAACCUCGACGCUGUGGAUGUUGGGCCUGAUCAUUCUUUGGGGUGGGUCUGUCCUGGGCACUGCAGGGUGCUAAGCAGCCUCCACCCAGUCCCCAGUGGUGACACCCAAAACUGUGUCCAGACAUUGACAGGUGUCUCCAGGAGGGAGACUCGCCUCCAUCUGAGAAGCAGAACCAGCCUGACAGUCCACCUCCCGGCUGAAAAGUGCUUGCAUGUGCGAUUUGCCUUCCGCCUGGGAGUCUGGGGGCACUGGGAUGCCAUCCUUGCCCCACCCUGGCUUUCAGAGCUCUCUCCUCUCCUCCUCGUGUGCCCAUGAGUCCGGCUCACAGGAACGUGGGUCUCACAUCAGGUCCUGAGGGAGCAGGUGUGUUUCUGGGCCUGAGGCUGCUCCUUGGUAGUGAGGGUGUCCCCACGAGCCGUGUCUGUGGCGCCUGCAGCUGCCUGCAUGUCCAUCUGUGUCCACAUCUGCCUUUGAGCCUCAUCUUCCUGGCCCCACGGUUUUCUCAUGCUGUGACCCAAAAGCCAAGCAUUCCAGGGUGUUCUGCUGAAAUUGAGUUGUGAGCGUGUCUCUCUCCUCGCUCCAGUCUGAAGGAGAAGCGUGGUCGGUAGAUAGACGUCUCAGACCUUCGUGUUUUCUUCACGUCUGUCUGUUGGCAGGUCCUUACACUAUUGUGGUUGCUUUAGCAACUUAGCUGUUGUCGACUUAAUGUGUUUCAUGACGUUCUGCAGCAAGGAAGAAGGUCCGAGUUUCCACUCUCAAUCAGGCACCUUCGUUCCCCUCCCCCCUCACUUGACUUCCUGUGGGGUGUGUGGUGUCUGCACUUAUAGAUGAGAAUGCUGAGGCCUCAGGAGGGCAAGGGACUCGCCCACGGUCACGGAACCCUAAGUCAGGGGUGGAGAAGGACCCCCUGACGCCAGCCCACCUCCCCUGCCCCUCAGCAGGCCUGGCUCCAGCACAGAGAAGAGCCAUUGUUGCUGCUCUGGGGGCCCUAGGAGCCUGGGAUGUAUCCUGCCUUUGUUUCUAGAGCCUUUGUUUGUUGUAUUUCCUCUGUCUCCAGACAUCGCAGGCCGGUGGGACCCGGCGCCUGUGCACGCUCACGUAGCGGGGCCUGUUCGGGUCCCUCGUGGGUCCCUUCAGUUCGAGCUCUGUCCUUGCCUCAGCGGCCCGUCACCCAUAGGGUGGCAGAGAUGGGCCGGGGGAGGGAGUGGGCAGCAGUGCGGACCGAGUCCUGGCGCAUGGGGUUUCCCUGGUGCUGGAGCCGGGCGUUUCGGGGGUGUGGGCGGGGCUGGGGUCAUAUCCCCUGCAUGCCCCGCAUGCCAUGGCUGUACUCACAUGGCAAGAGGUGGUGAUCGCCAGCUCAGGGAAGGUGGGGGUUCCUUCAUCCUGUGGAGAGGGGGCUGAAUUGGGGUCCCCUGAGCUGUAGGGUGCAGUGCCUGACAGGCCGUGGGGAGGGCCGAGGGGAUGGGGACUGACAGGCCCCGGGCCCAUGCCGCCCCCUGGCACGGGUGGAUGCCCCGCCUCCCGGGGGUGCCCAGCUGGACUGUGGCACCCCCAAAGGACCCCACAUGUCACUGUUCCCCCGCAGGGCUUCCCACGGCACGACAUGGAGACCUGUGGUUGCGAGGCUCCCUGGGGCUCGGCUUGGACCGCGAUGGGGCUGGGCCCUGGCCUCCUAACGGGGCUGCUGUCUGGGGCGGUAGCUGGGGGGGCGCUCUCCCCCCUGCCCGCGACUCGGAGCACCCCCACCCCUCCCCUGCCGGGCCAGGCCGGGCGGCGUUGUUGGCGGGGGCCCCGGUGGAGGCCCGGCCUGGGCGGCGCCCGCCAUGAAUGGGCUGUCGCUGAGUGAGCUCUGCUGCCUCUUCUGCUGCCCGCCCUGCCCCGGCCGCAUCGCUGCCAAGCUCGCCUUCCUGCCGCCGGAGGCCACCUACUCCCUGGUGCCUGAGCCCGAGCCGGGGCCUGGUGGGGCCGGGGCCGCCCCCUUGGGGACCCUGAGAGCCUCCUCGGGCGCACCCGGGCGCUGGAAGCUGCACCUGACGGAGCGUGCCGACUUCCAGUACAGCCAGCGCGAGCUGGACACCAUCGAGGUCUUCCCCACCAAGAGCGCCCGCGGCAACCGCGUCUCCUGCAUGUAUGUUCGCUGCGUGCCUGGUGCCAGGUACACGGUCCUCUUCUCGCACGGCAAUGCCGUGGACCUGGGCCAGAUGAGCAGCUUCUACAUUGGCCUGGGCUCCCGCCUCCACUGCAACAUCUUCUCCUACGACUACUCCGGCUACGGUGCCAGCUCGGGCAGGCCUUCCGAGAGGAACCUCUAUGCCGACAUCGACGCCGCCUGGCAGGCCCUGCGCACCAGGUGAGGGCGACCCUGGGGGCAGCUCAGCCUGGGCACACCCAAGAGGGGACCAGGCGGGGGGCCGGGGGGCGGGCUUCCCUGGGAGGAAGGUGGGCGGCCCUGCAGGAGGGGAGCCACAGUGGAUGCACAGGGCCAGAGAGCCGGACAGGCGAGCUUGGGUGUGCAGGUGCCGCCUCCACAUGGCUGAGGUGUGGCCAGGCGGUCCUCCCACACCCUGGCCUGUGGAGCCAGGUUCCCUGGGAACCCCUGGCCUGAGGAUGGGAAGGGGCUGAGCUUGUCACAGGGGUGUGGAUGCCACCCGGCGGGAGGGAGUGGGUGGUGGUCUGGGGGUCUGUGCACGUGUGGCUGGGAGCCCAUCGGCCGAGGCAGCACUUGGGGCCAAGUGAGGCGAGGCUGCUGCAUCCAGGUCCGGAGGACUGGCCCAUGAGGCCCUGUGGCUGCGGAGCUUGGCCAUCCUGGGGCAGGGCCUACAGGGUAAGGUGCAGACCCGCAGCACACAUCCGAGGUCUGGGCCAGCCUCGAUUCCAGAUCCAGCCCUCCUAGUCAUCCACGUCCCCAGCCCUGCGCUUGCCUGGGCCCUUCACCGGUGUUUGAGCACCGCCCGGGCCAGUGCUGCUUUGGACGAGGAGACCCGGGUGGGCCUCUGGUGGCUUUUCCUGCUCACCAUCCACUGGGCCUGUCUCGUCCUGGCCCUGCCCAGCCCACUGGUCUGACCUGCUCCCACAGGGACCAGGCACAGCUCUGAGAAGUCAGAGGCCCUAGGGAGGUGGGGUCGUCGUUGCCUUGGUGAUAUGCAGGCAGUCCCUGCAGUGGGCCUGGGAGCUGGUCCCCUGGCACCACCCUGGCUCUGGGGGCCUCCCAGCAGUGUGGGACGCUGACACCAAUCACCACUUCAUGCGACUUCCUCGGCCCCUCCUGUCUCUACUGCCUGGGCCACUGGCAGAGUCACACCUGCCAUGGCCAGCUCUGAGCUCUGUCUGCUCGGCCAUCUGUCCUGCUGCCACUUUGUCCUGCAGGAACCUAGGCCCAGAGCUGUGAGGGGGAGGCCAGAGCGUGCCCAGGGCCUCCACCGGGGAUGUGUCCUGUUCGUUUGAGUGGUGACAUCCAGGUGGCAGCUCGGGGCUCCUGCCUGUAGCAGGUGGCAGGGCUGGGCUGGCUCAGCACACUACUGACCAUGGCUGCCAGGGAGCAGGCCAGGGAGGCCGAGGCAGAGCUGGAGCCACAGGCACCAGCCAGGCAGCAUCCUUUGGGGCAUGGGUGAGUGGCGAGCUGUGGAGUGCUGCCAGGAGGCUGGGAUUCCAGGCCAGGGACGGGGACAGCCCUGCUGGUGGAGAUGCCAGGCAGAGGGGACGCACACCUGCCCAUGCUCCUGCCUUGCAAGAGGGCGUCUGCCUGGGAUCAGAGCCUAGAGCGUGUGGGAGGAGAGUUGUGGGGUCCCGGCAUGGGCAGGGUGGCAGGUGGGUCCCGUGUGCUUGGGACUGGGCACGAGGAGGCCUUGUAACUGGUGCUGGAUCAGCUGGGUCAGGGGCCGCACACCAAUGACCUGGGGGUGAGGGUGCCCCUGGGUGGGAGCUGGUGGUGCUGAGGUGGCCGAGGACUUGUCCACUCCCAAGGGAAGGUGCUGGUGGGAGGGGGUGCCACCUCCGCAGCCACCACCCUCGAUGCUGACCUGGGUUGCACUGGCAUCUCAUUGGGCGUGGGGACUCCGAGAGUCCAAAAUUGGGUGGAGACAUUUGGGGACACAGCUGCCUGAAUUCCUCAUGGCCAAGGGGGUGGGCAAGGGCUGCAGGGAGGAAUAGUGUCCGCUGUCCUGGCCAGUGCACCAGGAACGGUUUUCUAACCCUGGCAGGAAGGUGUGAAGCAUUCAGGAUGUGGGGGCCACACAGUUCCCAGUGUGCACCUAGGGGUGACCAGGAGGAGGAGAGGCGCCAGGGCCUCCCUUACCCCCGCCCCAGGGGCACUCCGUAGGCAGGAUCCCUGCAGAUCCUAGCUAGGAAACGCCAGUGAACGGCAGCGCAGGGAACGGGGCGGGGCCGCUGGCUUCGCCCACCGCCACGGUGUUGGGGGCUGGGGGUGGCCCUCGGGACUGGUGUGGAGCCUGAGCCUGACCCACUGACUUGGCUGAGUGGGGAGACUGGAGGGUCGCAUCCGGAGCUGGGCCCGGGGACGCCCGCUGGUGGGAAGGGUGCGCGCGCGUCGGAGGCCGCGGCUGACCCUGCUCCGGCGCCGCCAGGUACGGCAUCAGCCCGGACAGCAUCAUCCUGUACGGGCAGAGCAUCGGCACGGUGCCCACCGUGGACCUGGCCUCGCGCUACGAGUGUGCCGCGGUGGUGCUGCACUCGCCGCUCACCUCGGGCAUGCGCGUCGCCUUCCCCGACACCAAGAAGACCUACUGCUUCGACGCCUUCCCUAACAUCGAGAAGGUGUCCAAGAUCACGUCUCCCGUGCUCAUCAUCCACGGCACGGAGGACGAGGUGAUCGACUUCUCGCACGGGCUGGCGCUCUACGAGCGCUGCCCCAAGGCGGUGGAGCCGCUGUGGGUGGAGGGCGCCGGGCACAACGACAUCGAGCUCUACAGCCAGUACCUGGAGCGCCUGCGUCGCUUCAUCUCCCAGGAGCUGCCCAGCCAGCGCGCCUAGCGGCGGCCCCAACCGGCCGGACCUCAGCAAUAAGGCGGCCCCCGGACCUCACCCCGCGCCGGCCCCCACCCAGGGGCUGCAUGUGGACCCCCCGGGCGGCCCAGGGGACCCCGCCCCGACCCAGGGGCUGUGGACGAUGUACAGGCAACAGAGCUACGCACUCCUUUCCUUUUGGAAGCAAGAAGAAAAUACGUGAAAACGGAAAUUAAAGAUUUAAAAUUUU